This 307-nucleotide ribosomal RNA is filed under the name uncultured bacterium. RNAcentral describes it as "partial 16S ribosomal RNA". It matches the Rfam family "Bacterial small subunit ribosomal RNA", at positions 506 to 807 of the family's 1533-position model. The record is from RNAcentral.
AGACAGCAGUAGCCACGGGAAUACAGAGGGUGCGAGCGUUAAUCGGAUUUACUGGGCGUAAAGCGUGCGUAGGCGGCUUUUUAAGUCGGAUGUGAAAUCCCUGAGCUUAACUUAGGAAUUGCAUUCGAUACUGGGAAGCUAGAGUAUGGGAGAGGAUGGUAGAAUUCCAGGUGUAGCGGUGAAAUGCGUAGAGAUCUGGAGGAAUACCGAUGGCGAAGGCAGCCAUCUGGCCUAAUACUGACGCUGAGGUACGAAAGCAUGGGGAGCAAACAGGAUUAGAUACCCCUGUAGUCCCUGUCUCUUAUAC